GUUUCCCCUGUGUCCUGUCUAUAGGCUGAACCAUAAUGGGAUUAGGGCUUCUACUGGGUAAAGAUGUGUAUUCUGACUUUCCCAUCUGGAGACAUUCCUAGUCUGUAGCCUCUCUGAUAUACUUUGUAUUACAAUGACAUGGGAGCUUUGAAACAGAAGGAAUGCAGGGGCAAAGUGAGGGACAUGCAGAGAGGUGCAGGAGGCAACCCAGCCUUCCCAUGCAAUCAACAAAAGGGCAGAGGUAAGUUGAGAUGGAGAGAAAAAAAAAAAAAGAAAAAAACACGCUACUGGAAGUUCACACACACUCUUGUGUGUGCAGGAAGUCUAGGUCAACAGAGGGGUAGUGCAACCUAGGAUACAGUGUAGACUAGACAGCCAGGGACUGGACAAAAAUCCACUUCUCAGAGAAUGCCAGUCUAGAACAUAGCAAUGACCAAGAAUUAGAUGAUUGAUGUGUUUUCACCAAUGUCUGGCUGUCUCAUCAUAUCCUCAUGGGAAAAAAGAACUCUCUCUGGGAAGGCAGGAAUGCCAUUGUUUAUGAUGCCAGAUGAUCCAAAAACUAUGCAAAGCUUCAUUCAUCCUUCACAAAAGCCAAACAACCAGAAUAAUGACUGGCAAGAAGCAUGGUUUUAAUAAUCCAG
RNAcentral lists this long non-coding RNA (641 nucleotides) under Homo sapiens (human). RNAcentral's name for it is "HSALNT0205409". Lineage: Eukaryota; Metazoa; Chordata; Mammalia; Primates; Hominidae. The record is from RNAcentral.